GGAUGACAGACCGCUCCAGGAACGAGAGAUGGAGCGAUCGCAUUUCCCCCCCAAGGCCCGCUAGGACCCGCUGACGUCGGGGCAGGGGUCAAGGGUCAGGAAUGGGUCCAGCUGUGCGUCUGGAAAGGACCCAGCGUGCCCACGCUCCCGGCAAGCCAGGGCUCAAACAUCCCCCCCAAGGGCGUCCGGGCUGAUGACGAUAGCGCCCAAUCGCCCUCCAGAAGCAGGCUGGCAGGAACAACCAGAGGGACUUCCCUGACUGACCCCGCGUUUGCUCAGCUUUGAAUUCCCGCUCGGUAGAUCUGUCGCAAUUUAACCAGAGGUCACCCUGAAGAGAGUGUCAGAAUCCCUGGAACCAGAGUUACAGAUGUUUAUAAUCCACCAUUGCAUGGAACUGUUUGAGAAAGAUCAGAGGAUGUGCCCUUGUUGGAGGAGAUG
RNAcentral lists this long non-coding RNA (438 nucleotides) under Mus pahari (shrew mouse). RNAcentral's name for it is "lncRNA (MGP_PahariEiJ_G0012455.1)". The record is from RNAcentral. Lineage: Eukaryota; Metazoa; Chordata; Mammalia; Rodentia; Muridae.